RNAcentral lists this ribosomal RNA (395 nucleotides) under uncultured bacterium. RNAcentral's name for it is "bacterial SSU rRNA". It matches the Rfam family "Bacterial small subunit ribosomal RNA", at positions 29 to 418 of the family's 1533-position model. The record is from RNAcentral.
AACGAACGCUGGCGGCGUGGUUUAGGCAUGCAAGUCGAGCGAGAAAGUCCUGGACGAGUACAGCGGCGAAAGGGUAGAGUAAUAUAUAGGUAACCUACCUCUUGGACUCGGAUAAUUCCUGGAAACGGGUUGUAAUACGAGAUCGUCCUAUUGGGUCGCAUGGCCCGACUGGUAAAUGGUAGCUCUGCUUCUGCCGAGAGAGGGGCCUAUAUCCUAUUAGCUAGUUGGUGAGGUAAUGGCUCACCAAGGCUUUGAUGGGUAGCCGGACUGAGAGGUUGGCCGGUCACACUGGGACUGAGACACUGCCCAGACUCCUACGGGAGGCUGCAGUCGAGAAUCUUCCCGCAAUGGGCGAAAGCCUGACGGGGCGACGCCGCGUGAACGAAGAAGGCCUC